RNAcentral lists this unclassified non-coding RNA (3367 nucleotides) under Cimex lectularius (bed bug). RNAcentral describes it as "syntaxin-binding protein 5, transcript variant X1". The record is from RNAcentral. Lineage: Eukaryota; Metazoa; Arthropoda; Insecta; Hemiptera; Cimicidae.
GACCCUGAGGAAACGAGGAUUUGAAUGGAUCUCGAGUCAACGUAAACCAUGAAGAAGUUCACCUUCAAAGGCGUCUUGGACGGGCUCAGGUCCUCCGUGUCCCAGCAGCCCCGAAACGACCAGGAGAUCGUCGAGACCCUCAGGCCGGAGAAUUUUCAAGUCGCCAAGACUUUUCGCCAUGGUUUUCCCAACCAACCAACUGCCGUGGCCUUCGAUCCGAUCCAGCGGCUCCUGGCGAUCGGGUCUAAAAACGGAUCCCUUAGAAUACUAGGAAGAUUCGGAGUCGAUUGUCAUGUUUUCCACGAAGGCGAGGUGGGCAUCAUACAGAUCGUUUUCCUUGUCAACGAAGGCGCCUUGAUAACAGCCACUACUGAUGACAGUGUUCACCUUUGGAAUUUCAGACAGAAAAGGCCGGACCUCGUCCAUAGUCUUCAAUUUCAAAGAGAAAGAAUAACGUGCAUACACCUCCCUCUUCACAGUAAAUGGCUGUACGUCGGCUCUGAAAGGGGCAAUAUUCACGUGGUAAAUAUUGAAUCUUUCCAGCUCUCCGGGUACGUCAUCAACUGGAACAAAGCGAUCGAAGUGUCACGCAAAACACACCCUGGAGCUGUUGUGCACUUAAGUGAUAACCCUUUAGAUUCGAGUAAGUUACUUAUUGCUUUUGAAAGUGGGCAGCUGGUCCUUUGGGAUCUUAGAAUGAAAGUAGCAGAAGCAAGAUGGCAAUCAAGCGAACCUCUAAAAUCUGUAAUAUGGCACCACGAUGGCAAACAGUUCAUGACCUCACACACAGACGGCACCUUACAGACCUGGAACAUUCGACAAUUUGGCAAACCUGUCAAUAUCCUGCAACCGCACGCAAAAAUUGGAAAGGAUGGUAAACCCGAAUCUUGCAAAGCGAUUCAAAAAGUAGAAUGGAAAGCUGCGAGAAGCGGAGAAACAUUUGUAAUAUUCUGUGGUGGCUUGACUUAUGACAAAGCCGGAAGGUCACCAAGCAUAACUAUUAUGCAUGGUAAAGCUACAACUGUGUUAGAAAUGGAGCACAAUGUUAUUGAUUUUAUUACAUUGUGUGAAAGCCCAUAUGCAAGUGAUAUUCCAGAGCCGUAUGCUAUAGUUGUCGUACUUCAGAAUGACCUUGUCGUCAUUGACCUCCUCAGUCCAGGCUUUCCGUGUUUUGAAAGUCCUCACCCAAUGGAUGUACACGAAUGUCCAGUGACUUGUUGCACAUAUCUUGCUGACUGUCCUUCAGAUCUGAUACCUGCUUUCUACUCCAUUGGGUCACGAUCUUCAAAACGGACGGGAUUUAGUGAUAAAGAAUGGCCACUUGCCGGAGGAGAAUGGACGACUCCACCUUGUAGUUAUAGUGAAAUAAUUAUUACUGGACAUGCGGAUGGGAGUAUAAAAUUUUGGGAUGCGUCGUGUGGUACUCUUCAGGUUUUGUACAAAGUAAAAACAAAUAAAGUAUUUGAAAGGCCGCAGAGCAAAUCACAAGAUGGUAACGAUGACGACCCUUUUGCCAUUCAACUCUUGUCGCUCUGUCCUGAAUCAAGAAAAUUGUGUAUCGCCGGUGCAGCUGGUUAUGUGAUUCUUUUCAAGUUUAAAAAACAAGAAUCGUCUUCUGAAACAGCGGUUUUGGACAUCCCGAUUGUCUACGAGGCCUUUGAUGAGCUAGAAUGUUCACCAGAAACUGAUUAUUCAAGGAGUAACCUAAACAAAAUUGACUCUGGGGAUAAUAAGAUUUUUGGAGCGGAUACAGGAACACCAAUAAAAGUAAAACCAGGCCUACAGAAAAAACCCCCAGGCUUUCAGGCUACAUUAGUCUGUAUUUCUCCAGCACCUAUAACAUCUCUGGGUAUCAACUCUUCAUACGGGCUGAUGGCUUAUGGAACAGAUACUGGAGCUGUAGUAGUGGACAUUGUGCAUAAAAUAUGUUUGUUGAAUGUUGCUACGCCAGACCUGUACGGAGGCGCUGAUCCCUAUCAGCGAGUACCAAAGUCACCAAAAAGAAGUCAGCCACCAGACUCAGACCCAGACAGGUGUAGGUCACCAAGUAUAGAUCAGGGUGUUGAAGUUGAAGAAAACAUAUCAGGAAAUACUUCACCACACGAAGAUGCCGAGACUGAACCAAGAAGGCGCAAGUUUAAUCUGAAAAAGCAGCUCAGCCGGGUCGAUCUAAAGCUGAAGUUCCAGCCGAGAAACAACAAAAGAUCGUGUUCAGUCUUUUACGCAGAAAAAGAUUCAGCCGAUGAGAGCCCCACUAGUCUGAGCCCGGACGACGAUAUGCCUACGAUCAAAGAGCCGGAGACGGAUGAAAAGCCGGCCGUGAGACCUUCCGAUCUUGCCUUGUUUGAAGAACGGCCCAUUCCGCCUCCGAGGAGGGAGAAAAAAGACAAGGAAAUGCCUAAACGAGACACAAGACUAUUAUCGGUCCCAAAUAUUAAGUAUCAUCCGAGGAUAAACCAAGGCAGAUCAGCAAUGAUACGCAAAAUAAAUAAAUUAGACAGUUCAUUUUCAAGAUCAAGAAGUUCUAGUAUGUCAAGCCUAGAGAAUAUAAGUUCAGAAGCUGUUCAGUGCAUUACAUUUGCGGAUUCAUAUACAAAAAAAUCAGACCCUUCGACAUUCCCUACUCUGUGGUUUGGCACAAGCCUUGGAUCAGUUUUGACUGUGAUGCUCAACGUACCUUCAUCUGAUAUUAGACUGACUCACCCUGUUGCUGUUGGGCCAUUCGGCACAAUGUUUCGCUUAAAAGGGUCCAUUUUAACCAUGUCUUUCCUUGAUUGCAAUGGUGCUUUAAUUCCUUACACAUUCGAAAGUUGGAAAGACGAAAGUAAAGAAAAACAAAGCCGAUCCUCUAGAGCAAAUAGCAAUAGCAGGAUGUCUCCUCCUGGCACUGCAAUCGGGGAAGUCAGCAGUUGUGAUAGACAGUUUGUGGUGAUCGUAAGUGAAAAACAGGCAAUCGUCGCUGCUCUUCCUUCCCAUAACAUCGUAUACAAGCAGCAAAUAACUGAAACUGAUUUUGUAGUGAAAGCUGAAAUUAUUUCUCUUAAAGAAAGCGUCUGUUUGGUUUGUUACAUUUCAAACGGCCAUAUCGUCGCUUACAGUUUACCGAGUCUUCGGACUUUGAUCGACACAGAUUUUCUCCCGUUGGCCGAUUUAAGAAACACAGAUGGGAGCAGACACUGGUUGGGAGCCUUUGGAGCCCAAUUUCAACUACUGGACAAAUAAGAUCGAGGUCUGACCCCAGACUGCCAAAACUUCUUGACGCCCACCAGAAAUUCAAUAAUCGCGAGAACAUUUUCUUUUAGCAAUCAUGGCAAUGGAUUAUAUCUAUGCUCGCCGACUGAAAUACAGAAGUUUUCAGUCUCCGCCG